AAUGAAAUGCCUGAAAAAGGAUUAUUUUGAUAGAAUAAAACAUGUGUAAUUUUUAUACUUUCAUUA
RNAcentral lists this transfer RNA (66 nucleotides) under Nesophrosyne maritima. Its description in RNAcentral is "tRNA-Ile". The record is from RNAcentral. Lineage: Eukaryota; Metazoa; Arthropoda; Insecta; Hemiptera; Cicadellidae.